Molecule: ribosomal RNA, 1419 nt
Filed under: gamma proteobacterium ST303
Lineage: Bacteria; Pseudomonadati; Pseudomonadota; Gammaproteobacteria
Description: bacterial SSU rRNA
Rfam family: Bacterial small subunit ribosomal RNA
Source: RNAcentral
CGGCAGCACGGGGAGCUUGCUCCCUGGUGGCGAGCGGCGGACGGGUGAGUAAUGCAUAGGAAUCUGCCCGGUAGUGGGGGAUAACCUGGGGAAACCCAGGCUAAUACCGCAUACGUCCUACGGGAGAAAGCAGGGGCUCUUCGGACCUUGCGCUAUCGGAUGAGCCUAUGUCGGAUUAGCUGGUUGGUGAGGUAAUGGCUCACCAAGGCGACGAUCCGUAGCUGGUCUGAGAGGAUGAUCAGCCACACUGGGACUGAGACACGGCCCAGACUCCUACGGGAGGCAGCAGUGGGGAAUAUUGGACAAUGGGCGCAAGCCUGAUCCAGCCAUGCCGCGUGUGUGAAGAAGGCCCUCGGGUUGUAAAGCACUUUCAGCGAGGAAGAAGGCUUGGCGGCUAAUACCCGUCAAGAAGGACAUCACUCGCAGAAGAAGCACCGGCUAACUCCGUGCCAGCAGCCGCGGUAAUACGGAGGGUGCGAGCGUUAAUCGGAAUUACUGGGCGUAAAGCGCGCGUAGGUGGUUUGGCACGCCGGUUGUGAAAGCCCCGGGCUCAACCUGGGAACGGCAUCCGGAACGGCCAGACUAGAGUGCAGGAGAGGAAGGUAGAAUUCCCGGUGUAGCGGUGAAAUGCGUAGAGAUCGGGAGGAAUACCAGUGGCGAAGGCGGCCUUCUGGCCUGACACUGACACUGAGGUGCGAAAGCGUGGGUAGCAAACAGGAUUAGAUACCCUGGUAGUCCACGCCGUAAACGAUGUCGACUAGCCGUUGGGACCUUUAAGGACUUAGUGGCGCAGUUAACGCGAUAAGUCGACCGCCUGGGGAGUACGGCCGCAAGGUUAAAACUCAAAUGAAUUGACGGGGGCCCGCACAAGCGGUGGAGCAUGUGGUUUAAUUCGAUGCAACGCGAAGAACCUUACCUACCCUUGACAUCCAGAGAACUUGGCAGAGAUGCCUUGGUGCCUUCGGGAACUCUGAGACAGGUGCUGCAUGGCUGUCGUCAGCUCGUGUUGUGAAAUGUUGGGUUAAGUCCCGUAACGAGCGCAACCCUUGUCCCUAUUUGCCAGCGAUUCGGUCGGGAACUCUAGGGAGACUGCCGGUGACAAACCGGAGGAAGGUGGGGACGACGUCAAGUCAUCAUGGCCCUUACGGGUAGGGCUACACACGUGCUACAAUGGCCGGUACAAAGGGUUGCGAGACCGCGAGGUGGAGCGAAUCCCAGAAAGCCGGCCUCAGUCCGGAUCGGAGUCUGCAACUCGACUCCGUGAAGUCGGAAUCGCUAGUAAUCGUGAAUCAGAAUGUCACGGUGAAUACGUUCCCGGGCCUUGUACACACCGCCCGUCACACCAUGGGAGUGGACUGCACCAGAAGUGGUUAGCUUAACCUUCGGGGGAGCGAUCACCACGGUGUGGUUCAUGACUGG